RNAcentral lists this ribosomal RNA (397 nucleotides) under uncultured bacterium. Its description in RNAcentral is "partial 16S ribosomal RNA". It matches the Rfam family "Bacterial small subunit ribosomal RNA", at positions 523 to 918 of the family's 1533-position model. The record is from RNAcentral.
AUACGUAGGGGGCGAGCGUUGUCCGGAAUGAUUGGGCGUAGAGGGCGCGUAGGCGGCCUGUUAAGUCUGGAGUGAAAGUCCUGUUUUCAAGAUGGGAAUUGCUUUGGAUACUGAUGGGCUUGAGUGCAGGAGAGGUUAUCGGAAUUCCCGGUGUAGCGGUGAAAUGCGUAGAGAUCGGGAGGAACACCAGUGGCGAAGGCGGGUAACUGGACUGCAACUGACGCUGAGGCGCGAAAGUGUGGGGAGCAAACAGGAUUAGAUACCCUGGUAGUCCACACUGUAAACGAUGAAUGCUAGGUGUAAGAGGUAUCGACCCCUUUUGUGCCGGAGUUAACACAAUAAGCAUUCCGCCUGGGGAGUACGGCCGCGAGGUUGAAACUCAAAGGAAUUGACGGGG